CUAGGUGUGGCUCAGGUGGUAGAGUGCUACCUUGGGGUGGUAGAGGCCGUGGGUUCAAGUCCCGCCACUUAGA
Molecule: transfer RNA, 73 nt
Filed under: Clostridia bacterium
Lineage: Bacteria; Bacillati; Bacillota; Clostridia
Description: tRNA-Pro
Rfam family: tRNA
About the family: Transfer RNA (tRNA) molecules are approximately 80 nucleotides in length. Their secondary structure includes four short double-helical elements and three loops (D, anti-codon, and T loops). Further hydrogen bonds mediate the characteristic L-shaped molecular structure. tRNAs have two regions of fundamental functional importance: the anti-codon, which is responsible for specific mRNA codon recognition, and the 3' end, to which the tRNAs corresponding amino acid is attached (by aminoacyl-tRNA synthetases). tRNAs cope with the degeneracy of the genetic code in two manners: having more than one tRNA (with a specific anti-codon) for a particular amino acid; and 'wobble' base-pairing, i.e. permitting non-standard base-pairing at the 3rd anti-codon position.
Source: RNAcentral